Candoia aspera is the source of this 1236-nucleotide long non-coding RNA. RefSeq lists it as uncharacterized. The record is from RefSeq and is a predicted model, not a curated record. The transcript is spliced from 3 exons. NCBI's taxonomy places the organism in Eukaryota, Metazoa, Chordata, Lepidosauria, Squamata, Candoiidae.
AGUGCUGUUACAAAAAAAAAAAAAGUAAAUAAGUGACACUAGAUUUCAUUUUAACAAUCUGAAUCAUUUGCCAUUUUUCUUACGACUAAAAAUGGCUUGUCUCUUAGUUUGCUAAGAAGCAGUUAUGCGUGGGAGUGAAACCAGAUAGGAAAUUCCCCUGUAACUAAGUAUAGACCAUCACAAUAGUAUCCAAUCUUUAAAUUAGAUACAAUAGCAAACUCAAACUGUUAGAAAGAGACUAAUAUAUUUAAAAAUACCUAAAACAAAGUAUCUCUUAUCUAUUUGAAUAUAGAUAGUUUUUGUACAAACAUAAGGGAUAUUUAUUAUACAAGCAUAUGGCAGUUGGAAUCGUUUUCUAAUAAUACUCAUAUUCUUUCUAUUCUCUUUUGUGGUUUAAGUAGGGUCAUCUUAGGUUUCUCCAUGCAGGGUUAUUGCUUUAGACCAAUUUAAUUAUGCAGACAGGCUAAACAGCUGAGUUAAACACAUAAUUCAGGGAAUUAAUUCUUCUUAAAACUGCAAAAGUCAUGUGCUCUAGAGUGUUUUGUCACAACUUGGGAGGUUUGGGGAUGAACAUUAGCUGUAAUUGUACAACAUACUGAAAUACAAAAUAACAAAUCAAUUUUACCCUAGUAUGUUUUGCAACCCUAUUCAGUAUGGUUAGUUUAUGGUUCAGUUGUUGAUCCCAGAAGAUUUAUUUAAUUGGAUCAUCAUGAUUAAGAUAAGCAUAUUGUACAGACACAAUCUUUAAUACUCUAUAACAGGAAGGCAAGAAUAGGAAGCUGAAUUGUUGCAAGAAUACACAAAGCCUAAGUUAAUUCAGAAUUUCUUUCUGACGUGGGAAAAGUUCACUGUGUGUAUGUCGGAAAGAACUCCUGAGAUACCUAAGCUUUAUGCCAUUCUUGCAACAAUUUCUAUCCCUGCCUUCCUGUUAUAUCCUCUUCUUCCUGCUGUGCUCUACUUCUAGGCAAAUCUAUAAGCAUUACAGUUUCAGAGUGAUCUCUUUCUUUCCACUUCUUCUCAGGGAAACUAUUAAGUCAUGAUAGUAGUGUAAAAAAAAGAAAAGCCACUCAGAAUAUGGGUGUGGUGAGGAACCUUCUCCAUUUUCAGCCUAGAUUUUUCUAAACACCUAUCAUUUUAAUGAAUUUUGACUUUUUAGUUCUGCAUAAAUGCCUUGGGUGAGGCAAGUCUGUAGAGAUCAUAGCUACGAUUCAUCAGUAAUCUAAAAAAAAAAGAAUG